This 968-nucleotide ribosomal RNA is filed under the name Salmonella enterica subsp. enterica serovar Weltevreden. RNAcentral's name for it is "partial 23S ribosomal RNA". It matches the Rfam family "Bacterial large subunit ribosomal RNA", at positions 577 to 1547 of the family's 2925-position model. The record is from RNAcentral. Lineage: Bacteria; Pseudomonadati; Pseudomonadota; Gammaproteobacteria; Enterobacterales; Enterobacteriaceae.
GAGCGCUUUGGGGUGGGGUGACUGCGUACCUUUUGUAUAAUGGGUCAGCGACUUAUAUUCUGUAGCAAGGUUAACCGAAUAGGGGAGCCGGAGGGAAACCGAGUCUUAACCGGGCGUUAAGUUGCAGGGUAUAGACCCGAAACCCGGUGAUCUAGCCAUGGGCAGGUUGAAGGUUGGGUAACACUAACUGGAGGACCGAACCGACUAAUGUUGAAAAAUUAGCGGAUGACCUGUGGCUGGGGGUGAAAGGCCAAUCAAACCGGGAGAUAGCUGGUUCUCCCCGAAAGCUAUUUAGGUAGCGCCUCGUGAAUUCAUCUCCGGGGGUAGAGCACUGUUUCGGCUAGGGGGCCAUCCCGGCUUACCAACCCGAUGCAAACUGCGAAUACCGGAGAAUGUUAUCACGGGAGACACACGGCGGGUGCUAACGUCCGUCGUGAAGAGGGAAACAACCCAGACCGCCAGCUAAGGUCCCAAAGUCAUGGUUAAGUGGGAAACGAUGUGGGAAGGCCCAGACAGCCAGGAUGUUGGCUUAGAAGCAGCCAUCAUUUAAAGAAAGCGUAAUAGCUCACUGGUCGAGUCGGCCUGCGCGGAAGAUGUAACGGGGCUAAACCAUGCACCGAAGCUGCGGCAGCGACGCUUAUGCGUUGUUGGGUAGGGGAGCGUUCUGUAAGCCUGUGAAGGUGGCCUGUGAGGGUUGCUGGAGGUAUCAGAAGUGCGAAUGCUGACAUAAGUAACGAUAAAGCGGGUGAAAAGCCCGCUCGCCGGAAGACCAAGGGUUCCUGUCCAACGUUAAUCGGGGCAGGGUGAGUCGACCCCUAAGGCGAGGCCGAAAGGCGUAGUCGAUGGGAAACGGGUUAAUAUUCCCGUACUUGGUGUUACUGCGAAGGGGGGACGGAGAAGGCUAUGUUGGCCGGGCGACGGUUGUCCCGGUUUAAGCGUGUAGGUGUGUGUUCCAGGUAAAUCCGGUU